CACACCGCCCGUCACACCACGAGAGUUUGUAACACCCGAAGCCGGUGGAGUAACCUUUUAGGAGCUAGCCGUCGAAGGUGGGACAAAUGAUUGGGGUGAAGUCGUAACAAGGUAGCCGUAUCGGAAGAUGCGGCUGGAUCACCUCCUUUCUAAGGA
This 156-nucleotide ribosomal RNA is filed under the name Mammaliicoccus sciuri. RNAcentral describes it as "Staphylococcus sciuri partial 16S ribosomal RNA". It matches the Rfam family "Bacterial small subunit ribosomal RNA", at positions 1386 to 1533 of the family's 1533-position model. Lineage: Bacteria; Bacillati; Bacillota; Bacilli; Caryophanales; Staphylococcaceae. The record is from RNAcentral.